ACUCACCGCGCUCACACUCGCCGCGCUCACACUCGCCCUCUCGCGCGCGCACACCCGUGCACACUCGCCGCGCGCCCCCUACUCCAGCCACGCCCUGAAACCCUCGCGAGACCCCUCUCCCUCCAACUCAGCCCCCAAAUUCCUGGGGCGCUGCCCACUCCGUGCAGGCCGUUCCACCCGCUUCCCGCUGUCCCGCUCAGGCCGAAAGCCGCGGACACGGUGGCCUUUGGAACUUGUGUAGGAGUCCGCCCCGCACCUCGACGCCUCUGUCCUGUGCGCUCACGCGUGCACACUCACUCACACACACACCGCACUACUCUCCUCUGUUGGACUGCCUUAACCCUGUCUCUGCUUGGCUGGGGGAACUCCCAGAGCCUUGUUGAAAGGGUACAGAGCCAGUGUCUUCGGAUACAGAACUAAUAAUGUUACUUCACAUUGUCUCCAUGUAUAUAUACCAGCAUCACUCUACAUAUUAAAUAAUAGGGAAGUAUCCUUUUUUCCAUUUUCCUUUUUUAUUAAAAAACCUAUAAAUAUGAAAAAUCUAAUAUUUAUUUGCAGCUCCUCAACACGUGAUCUUACGUGUUCCCUGGGAUAUGUGCAUCUUUUUGUUGGCGACCAUAGAUGUAAAAGAUAUUUGCAAAAGAUAUUUCAAACUUGGGUGUAAUUCAAGCAGUCUCCAAUAGCAGAGACAAUAUGCCUUGAAGAACACCUAUGUCAGGAAGGCUCACCCUGCAACAGUUCUCAGGAAGAUCUUUCCAGGAGAUCUGCCCGGGAAGAGCAGACAUGCAACAGAUUCAAUCCUGUGGGAAGAUUACUCUGUCAAGAAAGAGCAAGGAUAGCCAUUCACAGGAUUGCACCAUGAGGCUCAUGGAUUAGAAAUUAAGAUGAUAGCAAUGAGAUCAAGAGUGUUAAAAGCAGGAGCAGAGUGUAGUUGUGGGGCUUGCCUGCAAUAUCUGAUUGGGCAUUAGCUCACAGUGGAGAAGUCUGAUGGGAGAGGAGUGCAAAGGAAUGAAGGAACAUAAUAUCCAUGGUUGGCUUUGGAUCCCAAGUAUGACUCUGUUGCAAGACCCAUUGGAAGUUAUAAUAGAGGUUGUGCUACAUACUUCUUCCAUCAGUCUGGAUUGGCUCUGAAUUGAAGAUAAUUAUUCCUGCAGUAUGUAGAGAAAGAGCCAAGAAAGAGAUUGAUUACAAAUGGAAGAUAAUUGCAUUAACAUUUUGUGAGAUAUUAUUUAAAAUGUUUGUCAACCAUAAAAGGUAGUAUGGUGAAAUCUGCCAACUUAGUUAAGCUUCAUAUUUCAGUGUAACUGUCAAGUUAGCUUAUAUGCUGAUCUUUAUCUGUUAGAUUAUUUAGUAGUAUCUAGGUAUCUACUAGAUUUCCUAAAGGCAGUCAGUCACAGGGGCUUCCAAAUAAAAAAUACUUCAGAUUAUGACCUGGAUUUGAGACAAAAUUCCACCAUUCACUAUCUGUGUGAACUAAGGAAGUUGUUUAUUUAUUGUGAACCAAAGUUUCUUUCUUUCUUUCUUUCUUUUUUGACAAAAUCUCACUCUGUCACCCAGGCUGGAGUGCAGUGAUAUGAUCUCAGCUCACUGCAACAUGUGCCUAUCUGCCUCCUGGGCUCAAGUGAUUCUCGUGCCUCAGCCUACCUAGUAGCUGGGAUUACAGGUGUGUAGGUGUGUGCCACCACUCCCUGGCUAUUUUUUGUAUUUUCAGUAGAGAUGGAGUUUUUUCCAUGUUGGCCAGGCUGGUCCCGAAUUCCUGGCCUCAAGUGAUCUGCCUGUCUUGAGCUCCCAAAGUGUGGGGAUUACAGGUGUGAGCCACCCCACUCAGCUCCCUCAGUUUCUUUAAGUGUGAGGUGAAGAUAAUAAUCUGUAUCUCAUAGCUUUCCUCUGAAGAUUAACUAUAUUAUUUUAAAAGAUUUUUAACACAGUGUUUGACAUACACUAAGUGCUUAAUAACUGAUAGCUAUUAUUAAUAUUAUUUUUAAAGCCUCAGUAUUCUAUGAAUGAAAGAACAAAUAUAUCUAAUCUCAAAUGUUUAUAUUUUGAAAACUAUCUAGGCUUACACUGAUCUUAUUCAUGCAAUAAAGAGGAUAGUUCUGGAGACUGCGCAUUCAGGGAAGACAGAAUGGGUUAGAUGUACUUUCCUAUUCCUGCUGAUAAGUACAGUUAAAAAUCCUGGACAUCUUAUAUACACAAAAAUAUAAAAAUGUUGAAAGGUGAAAAGGAAGAAGUAAAUUGGCUUGAGAAUUUGGGGACCCAAGGGACAGUACAUAAAUGAGUUCCCUGGAUUUUGUAUUUUGGUUUUUGUCUCAUAUAUCCUAGACAGGGUAUUAAAGAAGCAGACUACCAAGAGAUGCCAAGGUGCAGAAAAAAAGCACCAGCAAAGGUCUACUGUCUCUAAGCAAAGGACCAGGAAAGGGACAGCCAAGGAAGACACAACACUUACUGUGCUAUGCCAGCCAAAUACCCCAAGAAGAAACCCAUGGCUCUGUCCCUUGAUCCUAGACUCCUUGGUCCAUAGAACUGUGAGAAAUAAAUGUUGUUUAUCAGCCA
Molecule: long non-coding RNA, 2553 nt
Filed under: Homo sapiens (human)
Lineage: Eukaryota; Metazoa; Chordata; Mammalia; Primates; Hominidae
Description: non-protein coding lnc-CCDC178-3:1
Source: RNAcentral